This 653-nucleotide ribosomal RNA is filed under the name uncultured marine eukaryote. Its description in RNAcentral is "bacterial SSU rRNA". It matches the Rfam family "Eukaryotic small subunit ribosomal RNA", at positions 613 to 1271 of the family's 1831-position model. The record is from RNAcentral.
UUGCGGUUAAAAAGUUCGUAGUUGGACAUCUGUCGAAGGCGAGGGGUCCAUCCUUUGGGUGUGCAUCUUUCUCGGCUUGGGCAUCAUCUUGAAAAACACUGCUGCAAUUGACUUUGUGGCGCGGCAUUCAGGACGUUUACUUUGAGGAAAUUAGAGUGCUCCAAGCAGGCACAGGCCAACAUACACUAGCAUGGAAUAAUAAAAAUGAACCUCGGAUCUAUUUUGUUGGUUUCUAGGGCUAAGGUUUUGACCAACAGGGACAGCUGGGGGCAUUCGUACUUAACUGUCAGAGGUGAAAUUCUUGGAUUUGUUAAAGACGGCCUACUGCGAAAGCAUUUGCCAAAUAUGUUUUCAUUGAUCAAGAACGAAAGUUAGGGGAUCGAAGACGAUCAGAUACCGUCCUAGUCUUAACCAUAAACAAUGCCGACUAGAAAUCGGAGGUCGUUAAUUGGACGACUCCUUCAGCACCUUUGGAGAAAUCAAAGUUUUUGGGUUCCGGGGGGAGUAUGGUCGCAAGGCUGAAACUUAAAGGAAUUGACGGAAGGGCACCACCAGGAGUGGAGCCUGCGGCUUAAUUUGACUCAACACGGGGAAACUUACCAGGUCCAGACAUAGCCAGGAUUGACAGAUUGACAGCUCUUUCUUGAUUCUAU